This 82-nucleotide transfer RNA is filed under the name Pseudomonadota bacterium. RNAcentral describes it as "Proteobacteria bacterium (gut metagenome) tRNA-Tyr". It matches the Rfam family "tRNA". Rfam says of the family: Transfer RNA (tRNA) molecules are approximately 80 nucleotides in length. Their secondary structure includes four short double-helical elements and three loops (D, anti-codon, and T loops). The record is from RNAcentral. Lineage: Bacteria; Pseudomonadati; Pseudomonadota.
GGAGAGGUAGCGAAGUGGCUAAACGCGGCGGACUGUAAAUCCGUUCCCUCCGGGUUCGGUGGUUCGAAUCCACCCCUCUCCA